This 27-nucleotide small RNA is filed under the name Bombyx mori (domestic silkworm). RNAcentral describes it as "piRNA piR-bmo-1825767". Lineage: Eukaryota; Metazoa; Arthropoda; Insecta; Lepidoptera; Bombycidae. The record is from RNAcentral.
UGAGAAUUAACAAAUGAAAGCGACUGC